GUCGGAAUAGUUUAAUAAAAAUGCUUAUUUUACACGUAAGAGAUAACCAUAGGUUUUUUGAUA
Molecule: transfer RNA, 63 nt
Filed under: Cichlidogyrus halli
Lineage: Eukaryota; Metazoa; Platyhelminthes; Monogenea; Dactylogyridea; Ancyrocephalidae
Description: tRNA-Val
Source: RNAcentral